Molecule: long non-coding RNA, 217 nt
Filed under: Medicago truncatula (barrel medic)
Lineage: Eukaryota; Viridiplantae; Streptophyta; Magnoliopsida; Fabales; Fabaceae
Description: long non-coding RNA (MTRU_LNC006692)
Source: RNAcentral
GCAAUCUUCAUCUCAUUACUCCUCCAGCUCUAUCAAACUCAAAUCAUGCUUGCAAUUUCCAUAUCAAUUGAAAGUGGAAUAAAAAAGUGGGAUCCCAAAUUUCUUAAUUUGAAGAACAAACUCAUCUUCCUAAAAACCAGAUCUUAAUUUGAAAGUGGAAUUUAGUGAAAUCAGAAAAAUGAUCCUUCCUCCCAUGCUCCCCAAUUUAUUUAAGAAC